Non-coding RNA from Myodes glareolus (Bank vole), 556 nucleotides. The record is from RefSeq and is a predicted model, not a curated record. NCBI's taxonomy places the organism in Eukaryota, Metazoa, Chordata, Mammalia, Rodentia, Cricetidae.
GAGCUGCCCUCCAUGAAGCUGCCAGAUCAGACAUGCUGAAUCUUUCCCGUUGAUGCUGAUCAUCUGGAGAUGAGAAAUUUGUGGUGAUUAAGAAGAGACUAGCAUCGUUGAGGUGAAGUCUCUGGAAAGUGCUUCCUGAGAGUCAUCCCACAGAGGCUGUGUUCCAGGCAUGGUACCUUGUGCUGGCAGCUGAACUUGGUAGUGUAAAAGUCACCCAGGUUGUGCUGGCUUUUGAAGAUGCUGUAAAAGAAAUGGCAGACACCACACCGUGAUUAUUUGUGAGCCUAUAAUCAUCACUUGCCCAAGCACCCUAAACUAGAAGAGACUACAGGUGACAUUGCCCAUAUAAGCGACAUAUACUCACCAAGGGCUGAACCUGUCCCUCAGGCAGCCUGAGGGCAAACAAACACCGUGGGCCACGCAUCAGCUACAAGAUGGAGGACCUCCGCACUCCCUGUGAAACUUAUAAAGGGAGACCAAGUGCCUUGUGGGUUGGAACUCUCUUUGUAUGACUGUCUGUGUAUGCCAAUACUAGCUCUUCCAGUAAAUCUCUCUU